Molecule: ribosomal RNA, 406 nt
Filed under: uncultured bacterium
Lineage: Bacteria
Description: partial 16S ribosomal RNA
Rfam family: Bacterial small subunit ribosomal RNA
Source: RNAcentral
AUUGAACGCUGGCGGCAGGCCUAACACAUGCAAGUCGAACGAGUGGCGGACGGGUGAGUAAUGUAGGGGAAACUGCCUGAUGGAGGGGGAUAAAUACUGGAAACGGUAGCUAAUACCCCAUACCAUCAGAUGUGCCCAGAUGGGAUUAGCGUGUUGGUGGGGUAACGGCUCACCAAGGCGACGAUCCCUAGCUGGUCUGAGAGGAUGACCAUCCACACGGGAACUUAGACACGGUCCAGACGCCUACGGGAGGCAGCAGUGGGGAAGAUUGCACAAUGGGCGCAAUCCGGAUGCAGCCAUGCCGCGUGUAUGAAGAAGGCCUUCGGGUUGUAAAGUACUUUCAGCGGGGAGGCGUUACCCGCAGAAGAAGCACCGGCUAACUCCGUGCCAGCAGCCGCGGUAAUUC